GCGCGGGUGCUGUAAUUGGUAGCCAGGCAUCCUUGAGGUGGAUGUGCCGAAAGGCGUGGAGGUUCGAGUCCUCUCCCGCGCA
Molecule: transfer RNA, 82 nt
Filed under: bacterium
Lineage: Bacteria
Description: tRNA-Leu
Source: RNAcentral